AUUGAACGCUGGCGGCAUGCCUUACACAUGCAAGUCGAACGGUAACAGGUUAAGCUGACGAGUGGCGAACGGGUGAGUAAUAUAUCGGAACGUGCCCAGUCGUGGGGGAUAACGUAGCGAAAGCUACGCUAAUACCGCAUACGAUCUACGGAUGAAAGCGGGGGAUCGCAAGACCUCGCGCGAUUGGAGCGGCCGAUAUCAGAUUAGGUUGUUGGUGAGGUAAAAGCUCACCAAGCCUGCGAUCUGUAGCUGGUCUGAGAGGACGACCAGCCACACUGGUACUGAGACACGGUCCAGACUCCUACGGGAGGCAGCAGUGGGGAAUUUUGGACAAUGGACGCAAGUCUGAUCCAGCAAUGCCGCGUGCAGAACGAAGGCCUUCGGGUUGUAAACUGCUUUUGUACGGAACGAAACGGUGAGCUCUAAUACAGUUUGCUAAUGACGGUACCGUAAGAAUAAGCACCGGCUAACUACGUGCCAGCAGCCGCAGUAA
Molecule: ribosomal RNA, 493 nt
Filed under: uncultured bacterium
Lineage: Bacteria
Description: partial 16S ribosomal RNA
Rfam family: Bacterial small subunit ribosomal RNA
Source: RNAcentral